Long non-coding RNA from Sinocyclocheilus grahami, 344 nucleotides. RefSeq lists it as uncharacterized. The transcript has 3 exons. The record is from RefSeq and is a predicted model, not a curated record. Lineage: Eukaryota; Metazoa; Chordata; Actinopteri; Cypriniformes; Cyprinidae.
CUAGUGGGAGGUCUGUUUUCAUCAGCUGUCUUCCCAACCAGAGGUACCUACGACAGAAAUACAUAGACAAAUCCCUCUUCAAACUGACUAAACCUUUUGGAAAACUGACUGGCUAUUCUCUGAACAGGUAUCAAGGAACGUGUUACAUGCAACUGGAAAGUACAAAGGCAGCUGAAAAAAUGGUUGCACAGUACAGUCGGAGGCCUUGCAAAUUUUGGGGGUCGGUGCUGAAGAUAGCUAUGUGCAGGAAAGGGGAUUCUCUGAUUCGCUGGAGAUACCCUGAAAAUGCAGAGGAAAGAAAGUCAAAAAAGGAAACAAAAGAAAUUAAACCAAGCACUGAAAGG